Molecule: ribosomal RNA, 253 nt
Filed under: uncultured bacterium
Lineage: Bacteria
Description: partial 16S ribosomal RNA
Rfam family: Bacterial small subunit ribosomal RNA
Source: RNAcentral
GACAGAGGUGCCAAGCGUUAGGCGGAAUCACUGGGCUUAAAGCGUGUGUAGGCGGAAUGGUAAGUACCUUGUGAAAUCCCACGGCUCAACCGUGGAACUGCUUGGUAUACUGCUUUUCUUGAGCCACUUAGGGGCAACCGGAACAAACGGUGGAGCGGUGAAAUGCGUAGAUAUCGUUUGGAACGCCAAUGGUGAAAACAGGUUGCUGGGAGUGUGCUGACGCUGAGACGCGAAAGCGUGGGGAGCGAACAGG